UACUCGCAGGGACUCCCCGAAGCCCGGCGCGGAGCGGGGGGGUCCCCGGGCGGGCCCGCGCCGAGAUCAACGCUGUCAGAGUGGCAGAGGCUUAAAUGGCCCCUCGGUGGGACCCCAAAGGCUCUCCGGGAAUCUAGGAAAAACUAGGUGCUGUGAUUGGCCAGGCCUUGGCAAUGUGCACACCCUCAAGGCCAAGAGGACAGAUUCUAUCCCUAAAAGAAAGGAAGCUUGAAAAAAAUAAAUAAAAGAAAGGAAGCUUGCUCUACUAAAUAAGACAAGAAAUUAAGGAUCUGUUUUCCAAGCACUGAAGGGAAACAACCACUGAGGAUGGAAAGCUCAGUGCCUCACCAGCAGUGACGCACUCUCCCCGAGGGACGUCUGGGCAGCAGGAGAGUCGCACAAUCCAGUCAAAGGCCCCCCCCCCGUCAGGUUGAACAGUGUGAACCAGCGCAGGGAGAUCUAGUGAUGGAAGAGAUGCUUGGAGUUCUGCAAGCAGCUGGAUUUGACAGCGGCGGAGAUUUCAGGAAAGUGGAGGGGACAUUCCAUCAUUGCAGUUAAUAAGAAGUACUUAAAAGACCUUUAAAAUGUAAGGACUUUGUUUUAGAAGGCCUUCAAUAAUAGUCCAAAGAGGAGCGGGAACUAUUUAUGUUUGCACCAAGCCCUCCAUGCCUGGAGCCCAAGACGGGGCAUGGAGCUCCUGGAGAGCAUGCACCAGCACCCCAUCAUGCUGCUACUCUGACCUUAGACUUCCAGCUCCAGACGGCGAGAAAACAAAAACCAUCUCUUUUCUUCAAACCACCAGCCUAUGGUAUUUAGUAAUGGCAGCCCGAGCUAACGCAUACCUGGGGUUUACUGGAGGCUUCUGGGAAACUUUGUCUGUGCUCUGCUAGACAAACCACAGGAAGUCUCCUUCUCACCCCAUACACCAACAAGCACAGAAGUCACCCCAACUGCCUCUAGCGCCAUCCACACCCCCCACCAGGGAAACCAGCUUUAGAACACAGCUGGCCUAUAGAACCGAACAGCGCUGCAGGCAAAUGGAGCCAGGAUCCUGAUCCAAUUAUGCCUGAAGCCAAUACGACUUUUGAACUUCCUGUUCUAGGAGCCAAGACCAUUUCUGAUGGUUCGAACAGGCUUGAGGCAGGUUUCUGCUUCUGGCCGAUUGUGAGGAUGAUUAAAGGACUUCGGAUAAGGAAAGGAAGGCGCCUGCUCCAGUGCAGGGUGUUUACCACUGACAGCUACGACUGUCUUAGGCAGGAAACGAAUUUGUACGUCACUCCCUGUAGUGGUGACGACGGAGAGACCUCUCUGGGUUUAGGGAAUUUUCCUACCAGUGAGCAGAGGUUGUGGCAGGCAGCAGCAGUCUCUGAAAAACAAUGAGGACCGGAAUAAACCGACGGGGAACUGACCUGGGAUUUGCCCCUGGCAAACCAGAUUUGGAUUCUGAUUGCCAGCGAGAAACCAGCCCCAGGAACCAAGCAGAACUGACGGAAAUGUUGAGCCACAGCCUCCUUCCCACCAAUUUCCGUUUUUCCGUUGGGAGUUUUUCUCUGGUCCUCGCAAAUCCCACAGCCAGCUCUGCUCUAGGGACUUCCUUAAGGCUCUUCCUUGCCCUAUUAGAGCUCCCAUUUUUCAGUUUCUCUGGAAUGUGCUCUCGUAUAAACUCUACUUCUCCUGUUUAAAUGUUUCCACUACUGAACUAGUAAAAAAGGGUAAAAUGAGAGAAGCUCAUGAAGGUCUUCUGUUGUAUUUUUCAUUAUAUUCAAAUGGAUUACCUACGUCUUUGAAGCAAAGCAAUAAAAAUAUCUGAAAAUCAUUCCCAAACCGGGUUGUUUACUUGAUGGUGAGCAGUUUCUAAACAACACCAACGGAGCCAGGAAGAUAGUCUGUGCAGGCCACUGAACAGCUCUUCCUUGAAUUGUUGUAGCUGGUCAUUAAACUGGCAUACAGGGUAUGAUUGUUAGUGUUUGCUAUUUUUAUCGGUGGCUCUUCUACAUUCUGAAAACUAUUCAGUCCUUGAAUUACUUGUAAAAUCAUUUCCUUGUUUUUAAGAAGCUUGUAAGACGUUAAAUUAACUCUUAGGAUCCUACAGCAAAAAUGAAGGAAUGGGCAAGGGUUGACUGCAAGGAUGUUCAAUGCAGUAUUAUUUAUAAUAGCAAAAAAGCAAAUAACCAAAUAUUCAAUAAUAGGGAAUUGGUUGAAUCAAUUAUGGUACAAUGCAUAAAAUGCCAUUAAGAUAGAUAAUAAAAUUAUAUGAACGUUUAUUGAUGUGUACAAAUAA
Molecule: long non-coding RNA, 2281 nt
Organism: Eptesicus fuscus (big brown bat)
Lineage: Eukaryota; Metazoa; Chordata; Mammalia; Chiroptera; Vespertilionidae
Exons: 4
Source: RefSeq, a predicted model, not a curated record